This 253-nucleotide ribosomal RNA is filed under the name uncultured bacterium. Its description in RNAcentral is "partial 16S ribosomal RNA". It matches the Rfam family "Bacterial small subunit ribosomal RNA", at positions 524 to 776 of the family's 1533-position model. The record is from RNAcentral.
UACAGAGGGGGCAAGCGUUGUUCGGAAUUACUGGGCGUAAAGCGUGCGUAGGCGGCUGCGCAAGUCGGGUGUGAAACCCCGGGGCUCAACCCCGGAACUGCAUCCGAUACUGCGUGGCUAGAGGUAGGUAGGGGAGAUCGGAAUUCCUGGUGUAGCGGUGAAAUGCGCAGAUAUCAGGAGGAACACCGGUGGCGAAGGCGGCUUGCUGGGCCAGUUCUGACGCUGAGGAGCGAAAGCGUGGGGAGCGAACAGG